GGCAUUCCUCGAGGAGGAAUGCGAAUUCGGAUAUUGAAGUCAUUCUCCCUGUCGAUGGCGCAGGAAGGCUCAUCAGGAUUGUGGCUCAGCAAGGACGUGAGGUGGCCCUGGGGCAAUAGAGUGGAGGUUUCAGCGAGCAACGCCAGGGAGGCCCAUUCGUAGACCCUGGCGUUGUCAUGGAAGGAGGUAGCAACAGGCGGUGGUGAAGCUGGCGCACUCGCGGAAGGCUGUGCACCAGAGGACGAGGCAACUAAACGCGCAGUUUGUUUCAAGCGAGCC
Molecule: long non-coding RNA, 279 nt
Filed under: Phaseolus vulgaris (common bean)
Lineage: Eukaryota; Viridiplantae; Streptophyta; Magnoliopsida; Fabales; Fabaceae
Description: long non-coding RNA (PVUL_LNC003971)
Source: RNAcentral